AACGAACGUUGGCGGCAUGCCUAACACAUGCAAGUCGAACGAAGCCUUCGGGCUUAGUGGCGCACGGGUGCGUAACACGUGGGAAUCUGCCUCUAGGUAGGGAAUAACUCAGGGAAACUUGUGCUAAUACCCUAUGAUGUCUUCGGACCAAAGAUUUAUCGCCUAGAGAUGAGCCCGCGUCGGAUUAGCUAGUUGGUGAGGUAAAGGCUCACCAAGGCUACGAUCCGUAGCUGGUCUGAGAGGAUGAUCAGCCACACUGGGACUGAGACACGGCCCAGACUCCUACGGGAGGCAGCAGUAGGGAAUCUUCCGCAAUGGGCGCAAGCCUGACGGAGCGACGCCGCGUGAGUGAUGAAGGCCUUCGGGUCGUAAAGCUCUGUUCUUGAGGACGAAUAAGCCAGGGAGUGGAAAGCCCUGGUGAUGACUGUACUCAAGGAGAAAGCUCCGGCUAACUACGUG
RNAcentral lists this ribosomal RNA (459 nucleotides) under uncultured bacterium. RNAcentral describes it as "bacterial SSU rRNA". It matches the Rfam family "Bacterial small subunit ribosomal RNA", at positions 29 to 507 of the family's 1533-position model. The record is from RNAcentral.